AUGACCGUGACGUUCCAGGAUAUUGCUAUGAUCACCGGUCUUCCUAUUGAUGGGAAUCCUCUAUGUAUGAGCACCGAUUCCGAUGGGUGGCGCGCGCAGAUGCAUGCCCUUAUCGGUAUGGUUCCUCCGGAGCCUCCGGAACCAGCAGCAAAAGACAAGAAGAAGGAAAGAGUCACAGCCGGUGCUACUUUCACGUGGAUUACUGAGCACUUUGGUACUUGCCCACCGGAAGCUGAUGAGGACACGGUCAAUACAUAUGCUCGUGUCUACAUGUGGUAUGUGAUAUCCAGGACUAUGUUUGCUGAUGGCAUAGGCAAGAAUGCUCCAUGGAUGUGGCUGAAGGCGUUGACCGUCUUCGAUAGCAAUUGGAGUUGGGGUUCGGCGACACUGGCUUACUUGUAUAGACAGGUAUGA
Molecule: ribosomal RNA, 414 nt
Filed under: Triticum aestivum (bread wheat)
Lineage: Eukaryota; Viridiplantae; Streptophyta; Magnoliopsida; Poales; Poaceae
Description: partial small subunit ribosomal RNA
Source: RNAcentral